Pogoniulus pusillus (Red-fronted tinkerbird) is the source of this 2332-nucleotide long non-coding RNA. RefSeq lists it as uncharacterized. The transcript has 2 exons. The record is from RefSeq and is a predicted model, not a curated record. Lineage: Eukaryota; Metazoa; Chordata; Aves; Piciformes; Lybiidae.
AGCGGCACCGCAGCACCUGAUUGGCGGAAGGGCGGCAGGGCCCAGCAGCCGCUAUGGCGGGCGGAGGGGAGCGCCGCCGCCAUUUUGUGUGCGCCGAGGCCGGCUCCGGGCCUAGCUGUCGGCCGCGGCGGCGGGGGGCGCGGGACGGCGAGGCCGCGGGCGGCCGGGGACCGGCGCUGAGGGCUUCUGCGCGGCGCAGCCGAGCCGAGGUCGCGGGACGGCCCGGCCGGGCCUCCCUUCUCCCGGGAGCGGAGCACGGGUCUCCCCGCCGGCCCUGACGUGGGCGGCGGCGCCGCACCUGCCGCCGGCCGCUCCCCCGGCAGGGUCCCGGGGAUCGGGGGAGCCCAGCCCCUGCCGGGGACUCCUCGUCCGGAGCCGGUGGAGCCUCACACCGCGGCGUUGCCUCGUCCGGGGACUCCGCGGCCUCCUCCUGCGGUCUGCGCAGAGGAACGGGAGAAGGCCCAGCCCGGCCCGGCCCGGCUCAGGCUCCCUGCCCUGGGCCCCGCGAGUGUCCGCAGCGCGGCCGUGCGCCCCCGAGGGGCCUGGCUGCAGCCUGCCGGCGGGGCUGGGCGAGGCGGCUGGCAGGGGCAGCUUGUUCCGGGGCUGGCAGGUGCUGGGCGGCAGCAGCCUGCGCUCCCCGCGGGGCUGCUCUCUGCCUGUGCCCCCGCGGCGGGGCCGGGCCGGAGUUGCGGCGCAGCUCCUGGCUGAGGAAUUGACACGUCCCGGGUGGGCGACAGCAGCCCCUGGCCCCCCCGUGCCUUCGCACACCCCCACGCCGGGAGGGGGGCAAAAAAAACAACCCCUCCGCUUUAAUCCUUUGUUUCACACAUUCCCGCGGCCGGAUCCCCGGAGGGGGGGGGGGGGGGGUUGGUUCUCGCGGGCGGGAUCCAGUGGAUCCCAGCUAACAUGGCCUCCCCUGGCCCGCUGCUGGCUGCCGAUCGCUGCUGUGGCGUGGGGGCAGCCUUAACACACAAAAGCCUUUUUGCCUGUUGCCAGGGCGCAAGGGGUAACUUCCCCAGCUGAUAAUAAACCGGAGCGAACCUUGUCUCGCAGUUAUAAAAGCCACUCCUGCGGCUGCUGGAAAGAACCCGGUGGGGAUUUUUGCCCCCCCCCUCCCUUCCCCCCCUUUUUUUUUCCAUGUGCAAAGUCAAGAAAAGCCUGUUUCUUGUUUCUUGUUGCCUGUUUCUGGUUUUCUUUAGUCAUUUUUUUAACCCUUCUCAGCACUGCCGAGUUCCUGAGCUGAGAGCAGCCUCUCUGCUGGCGCUUCCCUGCCGAGGUGUGGGGCAGCUGAGGAGGGCAGCGUUGAGUUGGUGCUGGUCGUGGUGCAGGCCUGAGGUGGUUCUGUUUGGGGUUUGUUUUUCAGGCAGUCCCUUUGCAGGAGGCAGAUAAUGCCAGCUCAUCCCCUGGUAUUAGUGGCCCUUGGUUUAGAUGUAAAACAGUGAGGUUUUGGGAGGCUUUUGGUGUAAGUAGAGAUUGUGCUGUCAAAUUUGGAGUCCUCCAGUUAAAAAGCAGAUUAUUCUCUUGCUGGGUUAUGGUUGGAGUUGGGUGGUUGUGGGGUGGGUUUUUUUGGAGGAGAUGCUUUGUUGUUAAGGCUCUGCUUAACAAUUUUUGGCUCCUCUCUUUGAUUUAUUAGGUCCUGAACUCUGAACCUUUGUAUUUUGAUGAUGGCUGCACUCUGAGAGCUGGGGGCUGUGUCGUUGGGUGCCUUUGCAGGCUCCCCACAGCUGAAGCUCUCAUUUCAAGUUGGUUUUGCCAAGCUAAUCAGGGUUAUGCUUCCUUCCAGCCAAGUGCCUUGUGCCUGCCCAGGCUGUCAGAAGGUGUUUUGUAGGGUGGGAGCAGGAAGGGAGCAAACACAGAGCCUGACCCUAACUUGGGGUUUGGUUUGUUGCAGAUGGACCAAACCCCACACACACCCUCCCAGCUUUUUGGCCAUGGCCUCAUCGGUGAGCACUAUGAAACCUCUCCCUGUGCAGGACUGGCUGUGCUGCUGUGGUGACACAAGAAGAUGACCAGGAUGUCCCCAACAGCUGGCUGAGCUGCACUCAAGCUUGGCUGCUCCAGACCAAGUCCGAGCCUGGCUCCAGGGAGGAGAAGCACAGACAAGCUCCCUGUCCAUUGCUGAGCCACUCAGAGCUCCCUGAAUGCCACUGGCCUGCGUCUGCCAGGAGGUUUGGAUGCAGGAGCUGGGAUGAGCCUUUGCAAGGAGCUGUGCAGUUCUUCAACACCUCCUAAGCAAGCAUCAGAGGUAACCUGGUUGAUAGGAAGACUCUCAUUAAAACAGAGCAUGGAAUAAAGCAGGAAAAGUUGGUGGAGUCAGAGUUGACUGUUAAAA